CCUACGGGGGGCAGCAGUGAGGAAUUUUGCGCAAUGGGCGAAAGCCUGACGCAGCGACGCCGCGUGGGGGAUGAAGGCCUUCGGGUUGUAAACUCCUUUCGACCGGAAAGAAACGCCCUUUGGCUAAUACCCAAGGGGUUUGACGGUACCGGGAGAAGAAGCCACGGCUAACUCUGUGCCAGCAGCCGCGGUAAGACAGAGGUGGCGAGCGUUGUUCGGAUUUACUGGGCGUAAAGAGUGCGUAGGCGGUUAUACAUGUCUGUUGUGAAAUCCCGAGGCUUAACCUCGGAACUGCAUCAGAAACGGUACGACUAGAGGACAGGAGGGGGAAGUGGAAUUCCAGGUGUAGCGGUGAAAUGCGUAGAUAUCUGGAAGAACACCGGUGGCGAAGGCGGCUUCCUGGACUGUCCCUGACGCUGAGGCACGAAAGCGUGGGUAGCAAACAGGAUUAGAUACCCCAGUAGUC
This 466-nucleotide ribosomal RNA is filed under the name uncultured bacterium. RNAcentral describes it as "bacterial SSU rRNA". It matches the Rfam family "Bacterial small subunit ribosomal RNA", at positions 338 to 795 of the family's 1533-position model. The record is from RNAcentral.